RNAcentral lists this ribosomal RNA (374 nucleotides) under uncultured bacterium. RNAcentral's name for it is "bacterial SSU rRNA". It matches the Rfam family "Bacterial small subunit ribosomal RNA", at positions 525 to 896 of the family's 1533-position model. The record is from RNAcentral.
ACGAACCAAGCGAACGUUAUUCGGAAUUACUGGGCUUAAAGCGCGUGUAGGCGGAUGGCCACGUCGGUUGUUGAAAUCCCCCGGCUUAACCGGGGAACAGGCACCGAUACGAGUCGUCUAGAGGUGGGUAGGGGAGACUGGAACUUCCGGUGGAGCGGUGAAAUGCGUUGAGAUCGGAAGGAACGCCUGCGGCGAAAGCGAGUCUCUGGCCCCAUACUGACGCUGAGACGCGAAAGCCAGGGGAGCAAACGGGAUUAGAUACCCCGGUAGUCCUGGCUGUAAACAUUGGGCACUGAAUAGUAGAACCGCCGAUGGUUUUACUGUUGAAGGGAAACCGUGAAGUGCCCCGCCUGGGGAGUAUGGUCGCAAGGCUG